UGCCUCAUACAAAUCCAUGAUCGAUUUGGUACGUUGA
Molecule: small RNA, 37 nt
Filed under: Arabidopsis thaliana (thale cress)
Lineage: Eukaryota; Viridiplantae; Streptophyta; Magnoliopsida; Brassicales; Brassicaceae
Description: ATSL188030
Source: RNAcentral